AACUGUUAAGUUUGGCAGCUUUCUUUUAUUGGGUCUUAAAAAACGUAUAACGCUUGACAAGGAGUAAUAGCAGCGAGUAAUAGCAGCGGGUAAAAAGACAAAGCAAAAGCAAGAGCAUCGUGUUCAGAAUGUUUGAAGGCCAUCAGAGUAGUACAAUUUUUUUCUACAAAAUAGGGAAUUCAUGUCGCAAAGUGCUCCCUUGUUUUUCUGCGCAAGAAGCCCCUCAGGAGGAGGAAAUCUUGCAGUAGAAUCACCUGUUUUGUAGACAUAAGAAACUGAAAGUACGAGCACUCGUGUCGUAUAGUUUUGUUUUCCAAUUUCCUCGUUUCUUGGUCUUUCGGUUUACUUUAUUAAGGUUUUCUAAAUAACCAAAAAAGCAGCCUCGUGUUGCAAAUUUUUGAGAGUCAAAUUUCUGUUUUUCUCUCUUCAGUCUAAAUUUAAGGGGAAAAAAUAACGCCUCUAUCCCUUUGCCACCUUAUCAUUUGUUCCAAGGACAUAACCCUUCGUGUGUCUUUCUUACGAAAACGUCAAACUUAAAGUUGUGAAAUUCAUCAUUUGCAGCUUUCAUUAAUAUUCUUAAUCCUUACCUUUUUGUACGUCUUUGUUUGUUUUUUUACUGGAAAAAAAAUUAUCACGUAACCUCAAAGUUAUUAAGGAAAAUUAUCUUUGACUUGAAAAUGGCUCAAGAUCUAAUGAAGCAAGUUUUCAUGCUUAUCGCAAAGGUUUAAGUUUAGACGAAAGGAACUGUAAGUUAUACUGAUAUGUGUUAACCUUCACGGCCCCAAUUUUGAAUCAGAGCUUAUAAAAAAUCAUUUGAUAUGCCACCUGUUGUCUGUCUCAGUGAAGAUACCUGAGGUUCUUGCAGCAAGAGUGUGGUCAACGGUGGAAUUUUAAGAGCAAUUUUUAUUAGUUUGAACAAUUUAAAAGAUCAUUCUAAAUUGAAAAGCAGAAAACCGCAAAUAUUUCAAUAUCUUUAGAAGAUGAAUGGACUAUUCUCUAACGGUAGAAAAGAGCUCAUGAUUUAAAAGGCCAGUUUUUGAAACACCUUCGGGGAAUAUGAACCCUUAAAUUUUCUGGAAAACAACAACGAAAAAAGCCAAACCGUGACUUGUCUGGAAACAAAUCUACCUUGAAGGCGAACUAGUUUUAUCACGGACCUGUUUAAAGGAGGAAAACUCCUUCUCUCAUUCAUCGGUGGACAGUUAUAACAUCAAAAGGCGAACUAAAUGCAUCUACUUAAUAUUGAAUCUUUGAGCUAAAAAUGAUGAGGAUUACAUAAUCUUCAUUGCAUCUUAGUUAAUUGGCGUUCAUCACUGCUUUCCAGUUGGUGUUUGAGCCUCACACUCCUACUAAGGUACUUGUGCUGUGGUUUUAAUUACAAGACAUUCAACAGACACAGCACUUUUUUAUACAGUGAGAUGGAUGUUCAAGAGCAUUUUCUUUCCAACCCUUUGCCGACCACAUGUUUCCGAAGUGAAACUCCUUCUCGUGAUCAACAGGGUAGUCAGGAGACAACAUUCCAUGCAUCAUGAAAUACAUAUAAUUCCUUAGCACCUUUACGAACAUGCGUACAGAUGGGAGAAUGAUUCUUUUCAUGAUUUAUCCGUUUUGUAAAGUUUCUUCGCUGAUCAAUGAUAAGCUUUUGUCCGCAAAGAAAAUUUCGAGGAAAACUUUUUAUAUACAGCUUUCUAGCGUUGUUUUGACAAACAACUCUACUCGUUAUGACAAAAUGAAAAUACACAUUUUUAAGAACCUCUUAUGCAAUAUUUGGAUUUCCUGUUGCUUUCAUCAUCUAUUGGUCUUAGCAGACACUCGUCGUGGGUUUUAAUCAGAGCAACAACAACAAAUGUUUAUGAAAUUUGCUUCUUUAAAUGUGUACUCUAUGUAUAUGGUUGUUAUUAUUUCAGCUGUGUUUUCUUACCAGUCAAUAUCCAAUUAUAGAGAAAUUCUUCUGUUCUCCUCAGUUAA
This 1968-nucleotide long non-coding RNA is filed under the name Pocillopora damicornis (cauliflower coral). RNAcentral's name for it is "uncharacterized LOC113665241". The record is from RNAcentral. Lineage: Eukaryota; Metazoa; Cnidaria; Anthozoa; Scleractinia; Pocilloporidae.